GAUGAACGCUGGCGGCGUGCCUAAUACAUGCAAGUCGAGCGAACAGACGAGGAGCUUGCUCCUCUGACGUUAGCGGCGGACGGGUGAGUAACACGUGGAUAACCUACCUAUAAGACUGGGAUAACUUCGGGAAACCGGAGCUAAUACCGGAUAAUAUAUUGAACCGCAUGGUUCAAUAGUGAAAGACGGUUUUGCUGUCACUUAUAGAUGGAUCCGCGCCGCAUUAGCUAGUUGGUAAGGUAACGGCUUACCAAGGCAACGAUGCGUAGCCGACCUGAGAGGGUGAUCGGCCGCACGGGAACUGAGACACGGUCCAGACUCCUGCGGGAGGCGGCAGUAGGGAAUCUUCCGCAAUGGGCGAAGGCCUGACGGAGCAACGCCGCGUGAGUGAUGAAGGUCUUCGGAUCGUAAAACUCUGUUAUUAGGGAAGAACAAAUGUGUAAGUAACUAUGCACGUCUUGACGGUACCUAAUCAGAAAGCCACGGCUAACUACGUG
This 497-nucleotide ribosomal RNA is filed under the name uncultured bacterium. RNAcentral describes it as "partial 16S ribosomal RNA". It matches the Rfam family "Bacterial small subunit ribosomal RNA", at positions 28 to 507 of the family's 1533-position model. The record is from RNAcentral.